This 637-nucleotide long non-coding RNA is filed under the name Durio zibethinus. RNAcentral's name for it is "long non-coding RNA (DZIB_LNC001555)". The record is from RNAcentral. Lineage: Eukaryota; Viridiplantae; Streptophyta; Magnoliopsida; Malvales; Malvaceae.
AUGCCUCUUAAGAAACCAAGAGUUGAAAUCCCAGAUGAUGAUGAUGAGUUCUUCACAGUCCCUGAUCUAGGCUGAGUGUGGAUGCAAUUAUACUUGUUUGUUGACAGGUCAAUUAACUAUAUGUUUGUACUUUCAUAUGUACGUAUAAUUAAUAACGUACACAUACAUUGCAUCGGUCUUGGAUGGCAAAAUGGUCAUGGGAAUACUCAAAUCUAUAUUUUCUUCCAUUGACCUGUGAAUUGCUUGUUUUAGGAUGCUGAACUCAUCACCCUAUGCACUGGGGUAUACUAUUCAUUCUGUUCAGUGCACCUCCUUUCAUGUUAUGCUGCCAGUGAAUCACGUCUCUAAUUAUCUUGGAAAAUGCUUGUCUUAGUACUUGCAGUCACUCUUAAGAUUUACAUUUAUUAGGUUUGAGAUAUGAAUUUUAGCAUUUGCAAGUUCUUUUCCUAUCUUAAGAUUACAAUUUUUUUGUUAAAAAAAAAAACUGUCUUAGAAAAUGUCCCAGAAUUUCUUAUGGGAGCUGAUAUUAAGAUGAGGUUAAACAAACUCUUGCCUGGCAUGAUUGUUAAUGUUCGAAUUUGAGUACUCACAAGUUUUGGGUAAGUUCAAAACUGUAGGCAGAAAAGAGGUCAUAAGU